AUACGUAGGUGACAAGCGUUAUCCGGAUUUACUGGGUGUAAAGGGCGUGUAGGCGGUUUAGCAAGUCAGAAGUGAAAUUCCCGGGCUUAACUUGGGCGCUGCUUCUGAAACUGCUUUACUUGAGUGCUGGAGGGGAUAGCGGAAUUCCUAGUGGAGCGGUAAAAUGCGCAGAUAUUAGGAAGAACACCGGUGGCGAAGGCGGCUAUCUGGACAGUAACUGACGCUGAGGCGCGAAAGCGUGGGGAGCAAACAGGAUUAGAUACCCUGGUAGUCCACGCGGUAAACGAUGAAUGCUAGGUGUUGCGGGUAUCGACCCCUGCAGUGCCGGAGUAAACACAAUAAGCAUUCCGCCUGGGGAGUACGGCCGCAAGGUUGAAACUCAAAUGAAUUGGCGGGG
RNAcentral lists this ribosomal RNA (397 nucleotides) under uncultured bacterium. RNAcentral's name for it is "partial 16S ribosomal RNA". It matches the Rfam family "Bacterial small subunit ribosomal RNA", at positions 523 to 918 of the family's 1533-position model. The record is from RNAcentral.